Molecule: small nucleolar RNA, 131 nt
Organism: Acomys russatus (golden spiny mouse)
Lineage: Eukaryota; Metazoa; Chordata; Mammalia; Rodentia; Muridae
Product: small nucleolar RNA SNORA17
Exons: 1
Source: RefSeq, a predicted model, not a curated record
CCCUCCCCAUAGAGGCACUGCAGGUGUGGCUGCUGUCACAUGUGCAUCAGCAGGUGACGGAGAGGAGAGAGGCUCUGUCUACGUUCAGUGUUCCGACCCGUAAACAUGUGAAUGAUUGGAAGCCUAACAGU